Molecule: ribosomal RNA, 406 nt
Filed under: Salmonella enterica
Lineage: Bacteria; Pseudomonadati; Pseudomonadota; Gammaproteobacteria; Enterobacterales; Enterobacteriaceae
Also listed under: 11 other names
Description: bacterial SSU rRNA
Rfam family: Bacterial small subunit ribosomal RNA
Source: RNAcentral
UGCCAGCGAUUAGGUCGGGAACUCAAAGGAGACUGCCAGUGAUAAACUGGAGGAAGGUGGGGAUGACGUCAAGUCAUCAUGGCCCUUACGACCAGGGCUACACACGUGCUACAAUGGCGCAUACAAAGAGAAGCGACCUCGCGAGAGCAAGCGGACCUCAUAAAGUGCGUCGUAGUCCGGAUUGGAGUCUGCAACUCGACUCCAUGAAGUCGGAAUCGCUAGUAAUCGUGGAUCAGAAUGCCACGGUGAAUACGUUCCCGGGCCUUGUACACACCGCCCGUCACACCAUGGGAGUGGGUUGCAAAAGAAGUAGGUAGCUUAACCUUCGGGAGGGCGCUUACCACUUUGUGAUUCAUGACUGGGGUGAAGUCGUAACAAGGUAACCGUAGGGGAACCUGCGGUUGGA